Molecule: long non-coding RNA, 280 nt
Organism: Oxyura jamaicensis (ruddy duck)
Lineage: Eukaryota; Metazoa; Chordata; Aves; Anseriformes; Anatidae
Exons: 3
Source: RefSeq, a predicted model, not a curated record
UUUUGCUGCUUGCAACAUCUGAUGUGUGUCAUGCAGAUCUUCCACAAGAGAUCCAAAAAUUAUUUCUUAGGGAAUUUGGAGAAGUUUGCAAUAUCGAGUUGCCUGGUAAGGAAGAUAGAGCAACAUUUUUGGAGGACCUAAUUCUAAAUCAAACUGCUAAGCCUCCUGUAAAGAAUGCAGUUCACCGGACAUUGGAAGUCCUGCCUGUAGCAUCACCACCUGAGCCUCAAGAGCUGACAGAGGAAGAAGUAGGAGUGCUGGAGGAGGAAGAGGAGAAUAC